AGCUCUGCCUUCUUGGAUUGAGCACCCACUUUGUCCCUGGCACUGUGCUCGAGACAUCCCCUAAGUCAUUACUUAAUCAAUAUCGUACAUGUCGUUUUCAUAGUAAUCCCAUACUUUUAAAGAAGAGAAAGAAUGAAAAUAUGCUGGGAGUCUGAGGGACAGUGCAAGAAUGGAGGAGAAAAUCAAGAGGAGGCUCGUGCUGGGCACACGGAGACUCAGAGCCCAGACCUGAAAAGGACAGACAGGGAGAGUGAGGUGCUCAGACUGACAGUGGUCCAGGGGUUCUUGCCCUCCUGUGCCCCAUUUCGCACUCAUUUUUGUCAUUCAAACCUUAAAUCCAACGCUUUUAUGAUAAAAGUUUUGUUUUGUUUUGUUUUGUUUUGUUUAAGAAAUUAGAUGAAUUGUAAAUGGCUUGGUAAGUGGCAGCACCAAGGUAACUGUUAGAUAUAACACAAAUGCUGACAGCUCCUGAAGAAGAUUAAGGUUUUUGCAUGUCAUAAGUAUAAACUAUCAAAACAUUAUCGGCUCAAGUUUUUUCCAGUAUGAUUCAAUGAAUUUUCCAAUUCUCCCUAUUUCCCCUUCCCUAAAUACACCCGCCUUACCUCAUUCAGUUUUCUUGAAAAGCUUUCCAUCCUGACUCUGGUAUAUUAUUUCUUCUAAGGAAAAAAAAAACGCUUACAACCAGAUUGCUGAUGUAAGGACUGAAAAUGGACAGAAUGCAGUAAUUUCCUCCGGGGAGGUAGCUGGAGGACGUGAGAAAACGAUCAGAGCAGUGGCCCGUACGGGGAUCGAACCCGCGACCUUGGCGUUAUUAGCACCACGCUCUAACCAACUGAGCUAACCGGCCACCCUUAGGCACAGUCUUUUACUUACUUCUUUUAAAGUUAAUUUAAUGAAAGUCAGUGACUUUGCUCUUGCCCAAAUGCUGCUGCUGCUGCUGCUACUACUACUAACUAAAAGAAAAAAGUUUGUUUUUUAAUCAAAAAAGGAAAAAAUAAAUCUCAGCUGCCGUCACGGAUGAACGUACUUCUCCCUGGAAAAACUCAGUCUUUCUCAAAACGACAGAUGAAGCCUCAAAUAACUGUCCCGGAGCAACUACUUCCUUGCAGCUCUUCCUAGAAGGUCCGGGGCAAACGCGAAGCUGCUGCAAGCCUGAGAUGGCGGAGGGCAAAUCACGGAACUGACCACAAAACCCCCCGGCGCAGCGCUCGGAGUGCAAAUUUUCUGCUCCUGGAGAUCGUCUGGGCAGGUCACCUCUUGCCAGAGGCCUUUAGUCGCUUGGCUUCAGGUUAACUCUUGCGCUGUGCGUCCAGAGGUAGAAAAGGCUGCAGUGCCGUCAUAGGACACUUGGUGGCGCCCAAUUGAGGGUCUGAGGACGCAAAAGGACUGGGAGGAUUGCCCCUCUAUCUGAUCUCUCUGAUCUCUCGUCAUCCCCAAAGAAUGACAAGGGACGUCGAGAUCAGGAUUUCAACUCGCUUAUACUUCCAAAUAACAAAAUCGUCGCGCUUGCUCUUUGUCUGAAACUAAGAACUAUCAUGAGAGUCCCGCCCUGGUGCAUCGCUUCUCUCUCUGCUGGGGUCCCUCCGGGCCUGCCAGGGUCCCUGGGAAAGUACCAGUGGAAGGAGAUGAACUGGCGCCCCGGAAAAGGUUGCUCUCUUUGGAAUUUAGAUUUCUAUGAAAAGAGGCUUCACCAGGAACCGACCGUGAGGGCACCUUUCUUUUGAACCUGAUCUGUUGCAGAAAAGUCUCCCAGAUUCAAGCCAACUUUGAAUGAAGAGAAAUCCAGUUUCCUAGGGAAAGACCACUGGCACAUUGCCAAAAACUUUAAAAUAUGUUUAAAAUUUUUUAAUUUAUUCUUAUUCCUAGCCUUUCCUAAAGGGACCGGAGCCCAUUUACCAAAGUGAUUGUGCACUGGGGGCAAGUAAAUGGAUUUUUCAGGGAUUACCAGAGAAAUGACUCUGACCUGGUUUUAAUUCCUAGAGAUACAAAACAGCACUGCUGUCCUCCAGGCAAAGUAGGUAAUCUUGAAGGUCAGAAAGCCAAUGAAGUUUUGCUUCUGGUCCCUUUCACUGUGGGCACAGAAGGUCCCUGAGCCCAUCCUGUGGUUACCUCUCCAAUUUCAGACAAAAUUUCUAUAUUUUUUCUAUGACUAAUGGAAUGAAGGCUAUUAUGGCCUAAAAGACCAAUCAGAACAAGUCACCAGAAAUUCUUCUAUGAAAUAAUUAAACGUAACACAAUCAGUCCCAACAUCAAGAACUUGAAAGAGGUAGGAGGGCAGAGAGUCUCUUCAACUUGCUCAUUCACCUGCAGAAGAUAAGUGGGCUAUAGAAAAUGAGUUAUUGUUAACCCUGUCAAGUGAUUAUUUCAAUUGCAUCUGCUAUUUCGGGUGUCAUUUCAUUGAUGGAGAAAAUUAAUGAACUGGCAACUGGUAAGAAGAUACUGACAUGGUGUUCCAGACACUCGGGGCAGCAUGGAAGGAACUCAAGGUGAAGCUGGGAAAAGGAAACACAAAUAUGCAAAGGAGACUUUCAUUACAUCAACAGAAUGGUGUUGGAUGCUUGAGAUCCCAAGGGCUGCCAGAGCUCCCAGUACCAGAAAGCAAAACUCUUUUCCUCUUUUCCAAGACCCAACUCACUUUGUCACCACUUAUGCUCAAGAGAAGGCACUUCUUUUAGUGGAUCUGAAAAGCAAGAGGAGUAAUAGAGGGUUGAAAAGGCAGUGUACAAAGUAGAAGGAGACAAUCAGGUGGAUGAAGCAGCACUUAAUCGCCACACGGAGACUCAGAAACUCAGGGGACUGAUUCUGGAAAAGGGACGAGAAGAAAAGGGAGUACUCAGAUGGUCAGUGACCAUCAGACACCCAUCUCACUUCCAAUGCCACCCGUAAUCUAGUAUCGUCAUUUUCUUUACUAGAAUUUCUAUCUGAAGGCUUUAUUCCAUUUUCCCUUAAGUUGAUUUCUCUGUUUCCCGGGGGACCGGGGUAGGGGGUGGGGUGGCAAGGAAGGUAGGUGUCACUACUGUAGAACAAAUGAA
Molecule: non-coding RNA, 3032 nt
Organism: Sus scrofa (pig)
Lineage: Eukaryota; Metazoa; Chordata; Mammalia; Artiodactyla; Suidae
Source: RefSeq, a predicted model, not a curated record